GUGUGUGUGUGUUCAUCUCUCGGGGUCAAGGCCACGCGACGGCCCAGACGAUGACGUCACCGUCUGCCCAACACACGAGUAAUCGCAACAGGUGGUGCAGACGGUGGCGGCGGAACAGUCGCGGUCGCAGUCGUCGUCUAUGGUCGCCAUCGUCUCCGGUCGCCCCGUAUAGGAGUGCCCCGACGCACGCACACACGCACACACACACACACACAUACACCCACAUACACGAGCGCCGUCGACCCAAGUCCCGCGAGGAAACGCGUGCCGCUACGGUCUACCACGUGCGCCUUUUUUUUUUUUUUUUUUUUUUUCAGUUAUUUCCGUUAUUUUUAUUUCCACUCGCUAUAUUAUUAUUAUGAUUAUGGUAAACAAUCCGUCAUCCGACCGGAAAUCUGUUCGACCGUGAUGCAAACACUACACGUCCGUCGUAGAAUAUAUCGCGGCUAUAACGACGACUGCACACUUUUAUAUAGCCGGCGGCAUGAAACCUGCACCGCGAGUGCUGCAGUACGGAGCUUGUCGCCGCUAAAAGUGCAUUUGUGACAUAAUGACUGUUCUCGUGAACGCGUCACCGACAGGUACACGCGGGUAUACUACGUUCGUGGACACGAGUUGCAGGUAUUGCACCGGAAUAGUCUAAAGAGAGGUCCUUCAGCACGACUGUUUGUUCAUUGAUAUGACAAUAAAAUCGUUACAUGCAGAUUAUUGUAGACUAUAUCAUUUAAUUACAUCAAAACCGUCAAGGGGAUAUGUGAUUUUAAAUGUUUUAUUAUAAGAAAUCAUUAUAAUGAGAACGCAUUUAAGAGCCUUGCAGUUGAAGCAGCAUAAACGGCAUAAGCAAUAACCUAACCAAUAUUCAACGCAUUGAACAUAUACGCGACUAUCGACAAUCCAGAUCCUAUGAUGGUUUUAAGGUACCCACUCGAUAGUUCUUGAUCCGAUGCAGCUGUUAAAAGCGAACCGGUCCAUAAAAUGUAUACGCAGAUUACGACGGAGUGUGAUGUGUCCUCACACAUACAUCAUAUUCGUUUCGAGGAGAUAUUACUGCUCUGGGUAUAGGUAAUAUCCAUUUUCGAUAAAUUAUUCUUUCAACGUCUUCAGAUCGUUUGAAAUUGAAAUAGGUUAAGCACAUAAAAAAAAAAAAUGUGACUGAAAAAGAGAUCCUGAGUGCAAUAUCAUCGUUGUCGUCGUGUCUCGUUUGGUGUUUCUGCCUUUUUGCAGGAACCUAAAUGGAUAGACGCCAAAAAUCUUUGUGGUGGCACUCUACUGCAAUGUAAAAUUUGUCCAAAUCGCCUGUACACGGAAUAAACCUGUCGUUGCCGAUUCUCGACAGACUUUUUGGGACAAACAUUACCUCGAGAAAUCAAGGGGACCUGUUGCUAUAUAAACUUAUCGUAUACGUAUAUUGUAUAUUAUUAUAAUACAAUAUUAUAUAACGACAAUAACGAUGAGGAUGACAAUACCGCGUGUACGCUCUGAAGAGGAAAGCUGCGGCGGAUAUAAAUCGAGAUCGUCACAAUAAUGCUCUGCUGGUAAGUCCGCUCGGCUCACGGUGUAAAAUCUAUGUGUAAUAAUAUUAUAUUAUGUAUUAUACCUAUGAUUAUAUUAUAUAUACACACACACGAUGGCGAAUUAUUAUAAUGGGUUCGGUGUAAUAAUGUGGCGCAUUCCCACGGAAUCCACGGUGCCCAGUAAGUCAUUGACGGACAGGUUCGAUUCCCGACGACGCGCGAUCAAUGGGUUUUUGAGUGGAAUGGGUUCGAGUGCUCAGGACAUUCCGUUUUUUUUCUUUUUUUUUUUUUUAAUGCGCCCGUUACUGCACACACUCGCAUAAUAAUAAUAAUAAUAAUAAUAAUAUAAUAAAAUAUAACGUAUAUAUCCGUCUUGUUUUAAAUGUUUGCGUUUCUCCGUCUCUUGUACAUGCAUAUAUACGUAUACAAAACCUCUUGAACCGACACGAUUUACUAGUGGAGCGUGGAGA
This is a long non-coding RNA of Aphis gossypii (cotton aphid), 1984 nucleotides long. RefSeq lists it as uncharacterized. The record is from RefSeq and is a predicted model, not a curated record. NCBI's taxonomy places the organism in Eukaryota, Metazoa, Arthropoda, Insecta, Hemiptera, Aphididae. The transcript has 5 exons.